AUUGAACGCUGGCGGCAUGCUUUACACAUGCAAGUCGAACGGCAGCGCGGGCUUCGGCCUGGCGGCGAGUGGCGAACGGGUGAGUAAUGCAUCGGAACGUGCCCAGUAGUGGGGGAUAGCCCGGCGAAAGCCGGAUAAAUACCGCAUACGACCUGAGGGUGAAAGCGGGGGACCGAAAGGCCUCGCGCUAUUGGAGCGGCCGAUGUCGGAUUAGCUAGUUGGUGGGGUAAAGGCUUACCAAGGCGACGAUCCGUAGCUGGUCUGAGAGGACGACCAGCCACACUGGGACUGAGACACGGCCCAGACUCCUACGGGAGGCAGCAGUGGGGAAUUUUGGACAAAGGGGGCAACCCUGAUCCAGCCAUGCCGCGUGCGGGAAGAAGGCCUUCGGGUUGUAAACCGCUUUUGUUCGGGAAGAAAUCCUCUGGGCUAAUACCCCGGGGGGAUGACGGUACCGGAAGAAUAAGCACCGGCUAACUACGUG
This 484-nucleotide ribosomal RNA is filed under the name uncultured bacterium. RNAcentral's name for it is "partial 16S ribosomal RNA". It matches the Rfam family "Bacterial small subunit ribosomal RNA", at positions 29 to 507 of the family's 1533-position model. The record is from RNAcentral.